Molecule: long non-coding RNA, 458 nt
Organism: Oncorhynchus tshawytscha (Chinook salmon)
Lineage: Eukaryota; Metazoa; Chordata; Actinopteri; Salmoniformes; Salmonidae
Source: Ensembl
UCUUACACACAGCUAUCUCACACACACCUGUCUUACACACAGCUCUCACACACACCUGUCUUACACACAGCUAUCUCACACACACCUCUCACACACACCUGUCUCUCACACACACCUGUCUCUCACACACACCUGUCUCUCACACACACCUGUCUCACACACACCUGUCUCACACACACCUGCGGACUGUAGGGCCUGAGUUAGAGCAUGGACCAGAAGAAGCUCAUAAAAAUAUAAUUCUUAAUAAAGUAGGGCUGAGGGGGACGCAACUAAAGGGUUAAAUAAGAUUCUCUCUCUUAGCUUCCUCUAUAUAGUAACCUGAAGGUAGUGGACAGGACAGCAGCUUCCUCUAUAUAGUAACCUGAAGGUAGUGGACAGGACAGCAGCUUCCUCUAUAUAGUAUCCUGAAGACAGUGGACAGGACAGCAGCUUCCUCUAUAUAGUAACCUGAAGGUAGU